UAGUCUGUUUGGGUCAUAUCUCUAUCUAGUAGUGUCAGAUCCUCGCCUAAAUGCUGAGAACUUUCAGUUUUUACAAGUCUGACAGCAUCACAAGACUAUUAUUUAUGAAAUGACUAUAAU
Non-coding RNA from Populus trichocarpa (black cottonwood), 120 nucleotides. The record is from Rfam. NCBI's taxonomy places the organism in Eukaryota, Viridiplantae, Streptophyta, Magnoliopsida, Malpighiales, Salicaceae.